UUGAAUUUUAUGAACAUCAGGUACAACACCUGAUCUUUUGAGAAGUUGACAUAUACCUGGACUGGACAAAGGGGGCAGAACACUAUCCCAUUUUUCAUUUGGUAGAAAGAAAUGCAAGAUAUUUUGAAGGCAUAUUCAAAACUCACAGCAAUCAUGUAUAACUAUGUAAUUAUGUUUUAUUUUUUGUGCAGAAUGGAGUUGUAGAAGAGGCAGAAUCUAUUUCAGAUUUCACAGAGUUCCUUCAAGUUAUACACUUAGUGUGUUUUUUUUUCUGUUUUGUGAACAAUAAUUAUUAACUUUCGAGAAAAAAAAAAUUAGAGAAGGAAUAACUUACUGAUCGAUCUUCCACAUUUGCCAAUUUGCCCUGCAAACAAAAUUAAGAAUUAAGUGUUUCAGAAGACAAAAGUUUCUGCAAAAUAAUUAGCCCAGCUGGAAAGACAGUCACAUCAUUUUAUGCACAUGUAGUAGAUACAGUAUUUUUUAUUUUCACGUUAUUUUUUAUCAUUUAAAACAAAAUCCAUCCAAUGUCAAGCUACACACCAGAACAAGGUGGGAAGCCCACCGAAGACUAUCCCGUUAUAGAAAGCUUG
Molecule: long non-coding RNA, 590 nt
Filed under: Nicotiana tabacum (common tobacco)
Lineage: Eukaryota; Viridiplantae; Streptophyta; Magnoliopsida; Solanales; Solanaceae
Description: long non-coding RNA (NTAB_LNC001648)
Source: RNAcentral